Lolium rigidum is the source of this 2559-nucleotide long non-coding RNA. RefSeq lists it as uncharacterized. The transcript has 2 exons. The record is from RefSeq and is a predicted model, not a curated record. Lineage: Eukaryota; Viridiplantae; Streptophyta; Magnoliopsida; Poales; Poaceae.
CCCGUCGGCCCCUCCUCUUUCUCAAGCCGACUCACCUGCUCUUCUCCCUCGCGCCCCCGUCAUCCCCCAUCUGUGGGGCACCCUCCACCCCGUCGCCCCCUCUCAGGCGACGCCGAGGACGCCGCGUCCUUUGGGAGAAUAUGCAACGAGAAGAGAUGGAGGAACGCCGCAGUGGGGCAUGGAGCUCGCCAAGUUCUCCGCGCCGUCCAGAUUCCCCAUAUAUUCCUGGAAGCUCAGAACCGAUGGCUACAACCCACUGAAAUCUGCCAAAUCAAGGACGCCAUCAGGUCAUACCUGGUCAUUGAUCUCGAUUUUCCAGGGCUGCAUCACUGGAGAGCGAGGUGUUGCAUGCUCUGAAUUCGUAAAGGUACACACGUGUUCUGGCAAGGAGGAGCUUUAUGAUAAAUCAUGCAAUCAUGAGAUUUAUGCGCAAUUUUUGGUCUCUGCGAAGAAUCGGGCCUAAUGUGCGGGAAGGAAGGAGGUGGCAGACUGGCAGUACACUUACAUAGGUAUGUAUAUUCAUCUUGGACUAAUCCUUACACUCAAUUCGUUGUCUUGGACUGCAAAGAUUUGGGUCCAAGUAAAUGUCCUGUGGUAGUGUCAUCGUUUCCAAAUUCAUGUCAUCCUGUGGGAGCAGGCUAGCUCUUAGAUGUUGGAAUGCGCUCCUUUUAGCAAACCAAUGCUGGGGAUUGCUUCCAGGGGUACAGAUGUUAUCGUUAACUUCUGUGAGAUGUUUUUGCACCAAUGUUCUUGAACAUUGUCAACUCAUCAAUGAUCCUUCUAGGAUAGUGGAAAAACAUGCAUUCCAUCUACCAAUACGGCUAUACUUGGGUUGCAACUAAUCUCUUUUUCAACCUGGGUUUCAAAGCUUUGGUCAGCUAGGAGUGUGGUACCUUGAUAUGCGGGUGAUCUUGCUGGCUGGUUCAUCUAGGCAAACAAUCUAGCAACAAAAAUAACUCCAUAUUUUUUUACCUAUUUCUAUAAUUGGCAUGCCACUACAGAGGAACUUACAAGUUGAUAGUCGAGAGGUAGAAGUGAUUAUAAGUUGAUUUUAGCUACCUAUUAAGUUACUUACCACCACCCAGCAAGUUGUAUUAUGCUUAUGAACUAGGUUGUUUUUUUUAUUCUUAUCAAGUUGUGUUAUCCAACAUCCAUUGGAUAGGGUUGUUGUUUUCUUCCUGUUUUCUUUAUUUCUCCAGUGGCAGUCACUCACAAUUUUUUGGUUGUGCUACAUUUUUAUAUGCCAUGAAAUUAUGUCCAUAAGUUGGUCAUCUUGCUUAAUCAAGUUGUUUUAUCAUUAUGGUUAAGUUAACUUCUAAAGUAAUUAAGUUGGUUUUAAUACCAUGCUUAAGUUAGCUUUUGAAAUAAGUUUUUUUUAUACCAUGCUUAAGUUGGCGUUUGAAAGAAAUUGAGUUGUUUUGAUAAUUAUGCAGCAGUUGGCUUCUGAAAAUAAUUUGGUUGUCUUUAUACUUAUACCUUAGUUGCCUUCGGAAAGUAAUCGAGUUGUUUUGAUAACAUGCUUAAGUUGGCUUCUGAAAGUAAUCGAGUUGUUUUGAUAAUUAUAUAUAAGUUGGCUUCUGAAAGUAAUUGAAUUGUUUUGAUACCAUGCUUAAGUUGGGUUUCGACAAUAAUUGAGUUGUUUCGAUAACUAUACCUUUGUUGGCUUCUGAAAGUAAUUGAGUUGAUUCGAUAACUAUGCCUAUGUUGGCUUCUGAAAGUAAUUGAGUUGUUUUGAUAAUUAUGCCUACGUUGGCUUCGGGAAGUAAUUGAAUUAUUUUGAUACCAUGCUUAAGUUGGCCUUUGACAGUAAUUGAGUUGUUUUAAUAAUUAUACCUUAGUUGUCUUUUGAAAGUAAUUUAGUUGUUUCGAUAAUUAUGCCUUAGUUGGCUUCCGAAAGUAAUUGAGUUGUUUCGAUAAUUAUGCCUAAGUUGGCUUCUAAAAGUAAUUGAGUAAUUUUAAUAAUUAUACCUUAAUUGUCUUCUCAAAGUAAUUGAGUUGUUUCAAUAAUUUUACCUUAGUUGUCUUGUGAAAGUAAUUGAGUUGUUUUAAUAAUUAUGCAAAUUGAGUUGUUUCUAUAAUUAUGCUUAAGUUGGAUUGUGGAAAUAAUUGAGUUAGGUUAAUCUGUUUUUUAACAACACCUGGCCAUGCAAGCUACCAAACGACAAGUAACUUUAUGCACUUCUCAGUACAUCAACCCACAAAAAUCUCAGUACUGUACUAAUAUGGUUACAUUUUUCCAGACAAGCAGUUUGCGGUGGUGUCAGCAUGAUCAAGGAAACAGCUAUUCCUACAUCGCUGCUACAACGCAUACACCCAAAGUCAGAUAAUACAUGCUUAGUGUUCAGAAAAUACUAAUAGUUGAAGCUACCGUCUUCUCGGAAACAUAUUUCUGAGUUUUUGUCGCACAAAAGAUAUGUCAGGGAACUACUAGUAGCAUGUUUGAUUCCAGGGAGCCUCAAGUUUGUGUCACAAGUCACAACUACUUACUAUUGUCUGGUUUAUUCACAUUGAUAUAUGUUGGAUACACCUUCUCUCUACAAGUUUUCUUCUACCAUGUCA